GACCCCACCAGGAGGAAGGGGGACUUGCACUGGAAGAAGACUUUAGAUCUGUAGGUGAAGGUCUUGCCGCUGAGACGCCCCUCGGCAGUGGUGCCGGGGUCCCCAGAGAACACAGCUAAAGAAGACAACCAGGAGGAAUCAACGAUGAAGAAAAGCACAGAAUCUGCCCGUGGGCAGCGGGUCUCAAACGUGGAGCCUUUAACCUAUUGCACCCUGGCUACGAGUCCUGCAGGCUCUCCUCCUCAGACUGCAGCCCGAGGUUUGUGUGCCGUGGUCUGUGCCCCCGAGGACUUACGCAGGCACUGGGGCACCUCGCCUUUCCAGACGCCUUGGCCUUCGCAGGAGAGGAUGGCGGGCUGGGAGAGCUGGAAGCCGUGGGCGCAGCUGUAGCUGAUGCUGGCACCCCAGCGGAAGUCCGUUCCUUCCACCUUCCCAUCCUGGACCGGAGGAGGCUGGCCACACAUGACGGCUGUCAGAGAACAAACAGGAUUCAACAUUCUAGAGUUUCCACCACAACGCAAUGCUCCAAUGUCAUUUUGCAUGACUUCUACAAGGGGGCAAAUUUUUUAAUAGUGAAAUUACUGAGGAAGACAGUGAAUCAAAAGAAUAAAACUUUUAUCCAAUGUUUCCUCAUUAAUUUAGAUCAAGUCUACAAAAGCAAAGUCAAAACAUUUCACACCAUGAAAGUGGAAUAAACAACACAGUCUCAGUAGGUAUAAGAGCAAGAAAGAAAGAAUGCUAUUCCACUGAUGUCUUUUUGUGUGCGUCCGACUUGUUGUGACCCCAUGGACUGUAGCCCCCCAGGCUCCUCUGUCCAUGGGGAUUCUCCAGGCAAGAGUACUAGAGUCGGUUGCGAUGCCCUUACCAGAGGCAAAUCCAGUCAUAAUGUGGUCCUAUGACAUGAGAACAAACGUUGGAGUUUAUAUACACAGAUGGUAAGAAUUUCUCUAUCUGUACUUUUUUCUUUAUAUAAACAUAGCAUAUAGUUUCCAAAAGACAUAGGCUGCUGAUGCACUUGCUGAAGAAUUGAGCACCAACACUUGCGUGGUUAGAGAUGACCCUGUGAGAAACCGCUUUGCCAGGGUUCUGUCACAUCCAGGGGCUUCCCAGGAGUGACGUGCCCACUGGUGCUGGCGUCUGCCUGGCCCACUCCAGCCAUUAUUCUGUGACGCCUGGUCUAAGACCUCCCUGAAGACCCAAGAGCUCCGAGACUUCACACUGGAGGAGGUUUGCCGCUGACAGUCUGGGCACGGAAGGCGGCGGGAGAGGAGACUCAGCUGUAUUUCCUUACCUGCACUUUCUCACGGGUGCUCACACCUUCUUAGAAAGACACACAGACACAACCACACGUGCACGCCUGGAAGCUGGAAACGGGCCCUCCUCUUGCCAUUCACCUUCUCUCCAUGUAUCCACUCAUUCAACAAAGAUUCCUGCAGAACCCCUAAGUGAAGACUCGGGGAACAGUCUAUAGACAGGUCGAGGUCAGGUGACAGGCCCCCAGGUGGGAACGGUGAUGAGUGACGUGCCUCCAGGGAGGAGUGGACAGGGUGGCCAGCAGGAGAAGAGAGAGGUCUCCUCCAUGAGGGCCUGGAUGGCUGUGGAAGGAUUGUUAAUCCAACAGACACUAAACAGAGGGACACGAUCUACACAAAUGGAUCUGAAGUCCAGAAAUCAGACGUUCUAGGGAUAAGCGCCAUGGACACACUCACUGGACUAGAAUGCUCCCAACAGGACAGUGUGAGCUGUAUUAAAGACCCUCUUAGCACCUGUCCCAGAGCUGCAUGGUGUUAAUAACUGCAGCUGGAAAGAAGGACACGAGACAGGGCUCCUCACCCUCUGAUGGGAGGAAACCAGGAUGCGCCAGAACCGCCCCGGCCGGAAGUGGGUAAACGGCCCUCGGGGUGGGGGCUCCUCUGACCUCAAAGACUCGACAGGACGCACCUUCCUCCGAGAUUUCCUGCUACUCCAGCUCCAGCUCUCCCCCCUCCCUCGUCUAACGACGAUAAGACGCCCCUUUCUCCUGUGUGGUCACUGCCGGCCUCCACGUCCUCUCCCGCCCAUCCGAGAAGGCCUGAAGCUCCCUGUGGAUCUAGUGGAGACACUCACCCUGCAGAUCAGCCCUGCAUCAGCGGUCCGCUAGCCCCCAUGGUCCCCCAGCCAUGUGGACGCUUUCUUCCUGCUUGCUGUCUCCCUGGAAAGUCCACCAGCCAAGUCGUGAACCUCCCUGUACCCCUUCCUCGUUGUAGGGCUUCGUUAGUCUCAGCACCCGAGGCCCACCAGGCAUCAGGACACUGGCAGGCUCUGCCACUGUUCUGCCCUAUCUGAUGAUCGGCUCUGACCCACCUCUCCAACCCCGUGAUGAUGGCCACAGACUCAACACAGCCACGCACACCGAGACAGCAGAGCUGGGUUCACAGCACAGACUCCAGAGUCGGCCCUGAAGCCCGAUGGCUCCCAGACCUAACCUGCGACCCUGAGAAUUUACUGCAGCUCUCUGUGAGUCAGUCUCCAGGCUGUAAAACCAAGAUUAAGGUAGUAAGAAAAGGAAGUGAUUUAAUAUUUGCGAAUGAGUUUACAGGAAUGCUGAGCACAUAGAAGGUUUACACGGGUGCUCGCAAACUGAUGUAAAAUGUUAACUCAAUAGACUCUCCACGUGUGAGUGACGCACAAGAGAAGCCCCGACACUCGCCUUUGCAGGUUGGUUUGCUGUGAUUCCAGGUACUGUCCUUGGUGCAGCGGAUGGUGGGGGACGUGGCGGGCUCCAUGGUAUAGCUGGGGUUGCACUGGUAGCUGACCGUCUUGUUGAAGGUGAAAUCGGUCCCGAACUGGAUGCCGUUAGCCAGGGUCCCUGGGUCUCCACAGCUGAUGACUAAUCAGCAGAGAACAGACAAACAGAGAGACACAGUAUCAUCACGGGAUGACUUAUUCCUGGUUCCUGUUUAAGUGCCUCUCCUUAAGCUGCUCUUCAGAGCGAUGAUGCGGUGGCUGAGCACAGCGACACCAGCCUCUCUGGGGGACGGUUUCGCUGGCCGGCACUCAGGAGGCUGCAUGUUUGGAACCGCUUGUUUCUACUCCACUGACGUUGUCUGUGUGGAUGACAGCUGUCACCCGCGUUCUGUCCUUAACCAGACGUCGUGAGGGGUCACCCCACAAGGUCAAGGACAGAGACACAGGCUGAGAUCAGAGAACAGGCUCCUGCACCAUUUCCCUUCAGACUAACUGGUCUACAGAGAGAAGGAACCUUGCUUUUUCUGAACUCAGUUUUGUAAUAUCCAACCCAACCAGCCAGGCAAAGCACUUUUAACCAUAUAAAUAAGAAAGUGAAGAAAAAUCUAAAAGUGCUUAGAAAGUGGUCAUAUUAUCAAACAUACGUAUGACAUAAUCCUUUUUCCCUAGGGAUUAAACAACACAGCCCUCUGUAAAAUCAACUCCUUUUUCUCAGUCAAGUACAAGUCGCUGUGGGGACCUGGAUUUGGCCAGGACGGCGGCCACUCACUUGUGCAGUCGGGGGCCGUGCCGGUCCAGGUCCCAUUGGCGGUGCAGUGGCGAGUGGUCAGCCCUGAGGUCCUGUAGCCGUCCCAGCAGGCGUAGACCACCGAGCUGGAGAACAGCACGCCAUCGCUGCUGAUGAUCUUGCCGUGGGUGGGCGUCCCCGGGUUCCCACAGGACACAGCUGUGGGGAGACAGAACAGCAUGGAGACCCGUUACCACGUGAUAAACUCGAGAGGUCGAGGGCCAUCUGCAUAACAGACUGCACAUUUAUUUAAAAAGUCAUCGGAAGGACACUGUGGUCCUCCCCCCACCCCCACAUCCUCUGCCUGCCUUUUGUCUGUAGAAAAACUGUAGCCAAACAAUGAGUUUAAUCAGAGAAGUGAGAAAAUGCAGAACCAAAGAAAGCAGUCCAACAAGACAAAAACAGUUUAGUCAUUAAGUCAAGGACCUUUAACAGUUCCUCCUCCAGGGCCAUAGAUAAAACUGUGAGCCAUGUCCUGUGAGCUCUUUUGUAGAAACAGAAACCCCCACCAGGUGGAGAAGUUAACUGCAUGAUGACCAGACUGUAGCCAUGACACAGGCUGCCACAGUGUAAGAAGUGGCCUCAGGGAAAUGGGAACAAACCGAUCCUGGAACUGAAGACUGACUGUACUUAAACAACCAAACGACGCUGGUCAGACCACCGGUGACCGACCUGCAGAUGACUCUCAGAGCUAUCUGUGCUGUUUCUGCAUGUAGCUCCCUCCUCCUGUCUAUAAAAGCUCUGUAUUAGUGC
Molecule: long non-coding RNA, 4267 nt
Organism: Bubalus bubalis (water buffalo)
Lineage: Eukaryota; Metazoa; Chordata; Mammalia; Artiodactyla; Bovidae
Exons: 2
Source: RefSeq, a predicted model, not a curated record